AUCAACUGUUGAUCAUGUUCUGAUUGUUGGAUCCUAUUUCCAUUAUGCUGGAGGCUUUGAACCUCCUCAGGCAGUGGAUAUAUCUCUGAAUCCUGAUCGUUCAGAUCCAAUGUAUACUUUGUAUUCUAGAAAAGUUGCUACUGCCUAGG
Molecule: long non-coding RNA, 149 nt
Organism: Telopea speciosissima
Lineage: Eukaryota; Viridiplantae; Streptophyta; Magnoliopsida; Proteales; Proteaceae
Exons: 2
Source: RefSeq, a predicted model, not a curated record